This is a long non-coding RNA of Gasterosteus aculeatus aculeatus (three-spined stickleback), 1275 nucleotides long. The record is from Ensembl. NCBI's taxonomy places the organism in Eukaryota, Metazoa, Chordata, Actinopteri, Perciformes, Gasterosteidae.
GUUCUAUGUCGGUGAGGUUUUUUUGCUGGUAUUCCUGGUCCUUAGGCAUUUCAUAUUCAACUUAAAUAGCAGUUUUUGUUGUGGCUAAUCUGCGUUUCAGUUCUUUUUUUCCGGUCCUCAAAAAAAAUGAAUCCACCAAAUGUGGACUAGGCAAACUCGUUUCCGGAAACUUUCUCUUUGGACCUAGAAGCUACCAGAGGGAAUGCCUCGCGCUUCGAGACCUCCUCAACCCUAGAAUGAAAAGUCAGUGCAAGCAGAAUUGCCGCUGGGCCGCAGUUGACUUCCGUCCCCACUAGGCCAUAGCUGACUUUGUUGACCGUAGCUGACCGUUCUCCGGCGCCGACUCUCAAUUCCUGGUCCCGGCCCCCCCAUGUCUGGCCCCGAUACCGCCAAUUCCAGCCCACAGACUCCUGGCCCACAAGCCUCCAAUGGCGGCUGCCAACUCCUGAUUCCAGAAACCCAACUUCUGACCCCGACACCGCAGACUCAGGAACCGCCAAUUCUUCCCCAUCAAAUACGGACCCCCGGAACUGAUUCCACCCCGCGCCUUCGGUCGCCCAGAGUCCGGCUCCGCGCCUUCUGUCGCCCAGAGUCCGGCUCCGCGCCUUCUGUCGCCCAGAGUCCGGCUCCGCGCCUUCUGUCGCCCAGAGUCCGGCUCCGCGCCUUCUGUCGCCCAGAGUCCGGCUCCGCGCCUUCUGUCGCCCAGAGUCCGGCUCCGCGCCUUCUGUCGCCCAGAGUCCGGCUCCGCGCCUUCUGUCGCCCAGAGUCCGGCUCCGCGCCUUCUGUCGCCCAGAGUCCGGCUCCGCGCCUUCUGUCGCCAGUACCCUAGAGCCCGGCCCUAUUCAUGGAAAAAACACUGCCACUGCUGCGAGGGCUAGACAAGAAGCAAGGCAAAAUAUCCUAGAAGUUGGAUGGGAUCCUGCCACUUUCAGGAACCGGCAUUAUAAAAACUACCGCCGAGCCUCAUCACCUCUCCCAGUGUGCUCACCUGCCUCUCAUCAGUUAAUUAUUUUCACAGUGUUUCAGCCCCGGCCCGUCACACAUCUGGUGUCUGGAUCAACCCUUGAUAGCCUGCCGGCCUGCUCAUUGCCCCCAUCCAUGUGGGACCUGGCCUGCCCACGUUGUUCCACCAUGCUCAGCCUCUUCUCCUUCCUGCCCUCUGCCAUCCAUCAAAUAUGAGCAUUUUUGAAUAAAUCACUUCAAAUUUGUCUCCAGUUGUGCUCUGAACUUCACUGUUUAAACCACUCAAUGUUUAAAAUGUUAAAUUACAUGAAG